RNAcentral lists this ribosomal RNA (433 nucleotides) under uncultured bacterium. Its description in RNAcentral is "partial 16S ribosomal RNA". It matches the Rfam family "Bacterial small subunit ribosomal RNA", at positions 29 to 507 of the family's 1533-position model. The record is from RNAcentral.
AACGAACGCUGGCGGCAUGCCUAACACAUGCAAGUCGAACGGGACCUUCGGGCUUAGUGGCGCACGGGUGGGUAACGCGUGGUAACUUGCCCUUGGGUUCGGUAUAAUUCCCUGAAAGGGGUGCUAAUACCGGUUAAUCUCUUCGGACCAAAGAUCUCUCGCCAUUGGAUGGGCCCGGGUUGGAUUAGCUGGUUGGUAGGGUAAAAGCCUAUCAAGGAGAGGAUGCAGAGCUGGUGUGAGAGGAUGACCAGCCACACUGGGACUGAGGCACGGACCAGUAUCGGACGGAAGGGAGCAGAGGAGAAUAUUAGGGGCUGGGCGAAAGCCUGAUAAAGCAGUGCCGGGGAAGUGAGGAAGGCCUUAGGAUCGUAAAGCUGUUUUUGCCGAGAUGAUAAUGACAGUAACGGGUGAAUAAGCUCCGGCUAACUCCGUG